GUGAACGGCCAUAGCAGCCUGGAAAUACCCGUUCCCAUUUCGAACACGGCAGUCAAGCAGGCUCACGUUCCCGCCAGUACUGUAUUUCAUACGGGAAACCGGGAAAGCUGUUCACA
This 116-nucleotide ribosomal RNA is filed under the name Candidatus Woesearchaeota archaeon. Lineage: Archaea; Nanobdellati; Candidatus Woesearchaeota. The record is from RNAcentral.